AUUCCAGCUCCAGUAGCGUAUAUUAAAGUUGUUGCAGUUAAAAAGCUCGUAGUUGGAUUUCUGGCUUUAUAGAACUGACCCGCCACGUUAGUGUGUGAGUGUCGGCUUCUAUAUGCCAUCCUUCCACAGAACGUUUCUACUCUUGAUUGAGCCGGAUUCGCAAUGUGGAACUUUUACUUUGAAAAAAUUAGAGUGUUCAAAGCAGGCUUACGCUAUGAAUACAUUAGCAUGGAAUAAUAAUCUAGGACUUUGGUUCUAUUUUGUUGGUUUCUAGAACUGGAGUAAUGAUUGAUAGGGAUAGUUGGGGGUGCUAGUAUUCAGCGGCCAGAGGUGAAAUUCUUGGAUUCGCUGAAGACUAACUUAUGCGAAAGCAUUCACCAAGGAUGUCUUCAUUA
RNAcentral lists this ribosomal RNA (395 nucleotides) under Marimonadida sp. Its description in RNAcentral is "partial small subunit ribosomal RNA". It matches the Rfam family "Eukaryotic small subunit ribosomal RNA", at positions 582 to 975 of the family's 1831-position model. Lineage: Eukaryota; Cercozoa; Imbricatea; Marimonadida. The record is from RNAcentral.